AUGGCCGGCCGCGCCUCGGUCGAUCCCCCCGGCGACGCCUCCCCGUGGCCGGCGUCGAUUCUCCUCGCCCAGGAGGCGUACGUCGCCGUCAGCAGGAACCACACCACGGCCACAGCCAAAUCGAGGGUCGACCAUACCGUGGAGGUCACCUUCUGGGUCGCCGACCCGCCGGCGGUGUCCUUCUACACGUUCCACUGCUCCAAGCCCCCCACCUCCGACUCCGACUGCGAGUCCGAGGACGCCGCCGACUUGCAAGUUCAGCCACACGUGGUCGGCGCGGAGGGCCGGUUCGUCCUCGUCCGCACUUACUUUGCUUCCGGCGACGGCGACUUUGAAUACUUCAUCUACAAGGGCGACCCCAGGUCCCCGUCCCUCGAGAGCGUGCCGCUUCCCGAUGAUGAUAGGCUGAGCGGAUGCGGAGGUACCGAGUUCGGAAUCGUGCCCCGCAGCGACGGCGAUCAUUAUCUCCUGAUAGCGCUCUGUUACGCGGCGACCUUGAAGGAUUACCGGCUUCAUAUCUACUCGUCCGAGGACAGAGCAUGGAGGACCAAGGAGCUGCUCAACCCAUGUCCUGGGGUCCGUACGAUUACACCGGACAAGGUGAUGCUGCUCCGAGAUGGCGUGCUGGUGUGGGUCAAUUUGCUGUGCGGCAUGCUGGUGUGUGACAUACUUCAAGAACGAGAACCCCUUCGCGCUCGCUUCAUCCCAUUGCCUGAGCCAUUGCCUAGAAACAGAGAACAAAUUUUGAAGCAGUUAAUCCCGGGAGCUGCCAUCAGGCGUUACCGGGAUGUCGCCUGUGUUGAUGGUCUGAUCAAGUUUAUUGAGAUGGAACACCGCGUCACUGUAACAGAGAUUGUAGAUGUUCCUCCUGAAAAGCCAUCUGACCCCAGGAACAAGACUGUGCUCUAUGAUUCUGACUUGAUCAUGCUCUACAAGCGCAAACAUGUGGACAACAAGCCCAAGACGCUGCGCACAAUGAAUGGUUGGAGUGCCAUGACAUGGACUAGGGAGAUUGAGUCUGACUGUUGGCUCAAGGGAGUCAUUGUUGAUGUUGAUGACAUUUUGGUCGAUGACUCGGCGUUUUCAGCCUUACUGUCUGGCCAAAGGAACGAAUCCGCUGGGAGCUUGACAUUCAAGAACAUGUACUCGGCUUGCCCCACCCUGAGCACAGAUGGUAAUGACAUACUGUACCUCAAGUCAUCAAGGAAAAUGAGUGAUUCAUAUCGAUGGGUGGUUACGGUUGACCUUAAGGAGAAAACACUGAUGAAAGUGGAAGCACCUGGGGCGCACCCUUUUGGAAAAUAUUCUCCUUCGUGCCAAAUAUUCCUUCCCUGUGCAUUGGUGAACCAUCUAAAAAUGACUCCAGGCAUUAAAGUCUCAGCAAUUCAGACAGCACAGACAAGCAGCUCUUCGAAUGAGCCAAAUAAUACAGCUGUCUGUGUCAGUGAGCCUGAUUCCUAUGAAUCUGAAAACAAACGUCCAAGGCUAUUGGCUGAGAAAGCCAACCAUGCACAAAAUUUAGCUCAGAGUACUGUAAGGAAUGUUCAUAGCUCACAAGCCUGUCCUGAUCAAAACAAUAUGCCUCCACAACGAUGCUUCUACAGGUGGGAGGGGCCUGGCUACGGUGGGUACUCAUCAUGCCCCCCUCAAAACAAUCCGCCGCUGCCACAAUGUUUCAACAAGUUCACUGGACCCUGCAACUCUAUGUAUGCACCGUCGACCCCUGCCCCUAACAUACAUAGCUAUGGCAACUAUCAGUCGCCGUGGCAGCAACCACUACUACCGGAGCACCAGAUGGCACCUAGCAGGGCAUUUGGACCUCAUGUGGCACCCCAUCCAUACUUCAACAACUGGCGUGGAGCCAGACACCAUGGGAAUUCACAGCAACACCCUGUCGGUAACUCAUAUUACUAUGGUGCGCACUCAGGCAGUGGCAACCAAGGAUUUGAUUACCGUCCGAUUUACUACGAUCACAGAUACUAA
RNAcentral lists this ribosomal RNA (1983 nucleotides) under Triticum aestivum (bread wheat). RNAcentral describes it as "partial small subunit ribosomal RNA". The record is from RNAcentral. Lineage: Eukaryota; Viridiplantae; Streptophyta; Magnoliopsida; Poales; Poaceae.